This 253-nucleotide ribosomal RNA is filed under the name uncultured bacterium. RNAcentral describes it as "partial 16S ribosomal RNA". It matches the Rfam family "Bacterial small subunit ribosomal RNA", at positions 524 to 776 of the family's 1533-position model. The record is from RNAcentral.
GACGAACCGUGCAAACGUUGUUCGGAAUCACUGGGCUUAAAGGGCGCGUAGGCGGGCGGUCAAGUCAGGGGUGAAAUCUUUCGGCUCAACCGGAAAAGUGCCUUUGAUACUGGCCGUCUGGAGGGAGGUAGGGGCGUGCGGAACUUCCGGUGGAGCGGUGAAAUGCGUAGAUAUCGGAAGGAACACCGGUGGCGAAAGCGGCGCGCUGGACCUCUACUGACGCUGAGGCGCGAAAGCCAGGGGAGCAAACGGG